RNAcentral lists this ribosomal RNA (831 nucleotides) under Coniella granati. RNAcentral describes it as "eukaryotic LSU rRNA". It matches the Rfam family "Eukaryotic large subunit ribosomal RNA", at positions 106 to 966 of the family's 3401-position model. Lineage: Eukaryota; Fungi; Ascomycota; Sordariomycetes; Diaporthales; Schizoparmaceae. The record is from RNAcentral.
AGCUCAAAUUUGAAAUCUGGCUUCGGCCCGAGUUGUAAUUUGCAGAGGAUGUUUCUGGCGCGGUGCCUUCCGAGUUCCCUGGAACGGGACGCCACAGAGGGUGAGAGCCCCGUAUGGUUGGAUACUAAGCCUGUGUGAAACUCCUUCAACGAGUCGAGUAGUUUGGGAAUGCUGCUCAAAAUGGGAGGUAAAUCUCUUCUAAAGCUAAAUAUUGGCCAGAGACCGAUAGCGCACAAGUAGAGUGAUCGAAAGAUGAAAAGCACCUUGAAAAGGGGGUUAAACAGUACGUGAAAUUGUUGAAAGGGAAGCGCUCAUGACCAGACUUGUGCUGGGCAGCUCAUCCGGGGUUCUCCCCGGUGCACUCUGCCCAGUUCAGGCCAGCAUCGAUUUUUGCUGGGGGAUAAGAACGGUAGGAACGUGGCCCUCCUUCGGGUGGGUGUUAUAGCCUACCGUACGAUACCCUGGUGGAGAUCGAGGUUCGCGCAUCUGCAAGGAUGCUGGCGUAAUGGUCAUCAGCGACCCGUCUUGAAACACGGACCAAGGAGUCGUCCAUUAGAGCGAGCGUUUGGGUGUAAAACCCGCACGCGUAAUGAAAGUGAAAUUAGGUGAGAGCUUCGGCGCAUCAUCGACCGAUCCUGAUGUUCUCGGAUGGAUUUGAGUAAGAGUUUUAACGGACGGACCCGAAAGACAGUGAACUAUGCUUGUAUAGGGUGAAGCCAGAGGAAACUCUGGUGGAGGCUCGCAGCGGUUCUGACGUGCAAAUCGAUCGUCAAAUAUGAGCAUGGGGGCGAAAGACUAAUCGAACUGUCUAGUAGCUGGUUACCGCCGAAG